Molecule: non-coding RNA, 2549 nt
Organism: Oryctolagus cuniculus (rabbit)
Lineage: Eukaryota; Metazoa; Chordata; Mammalia; Lagomorpha; Leporidae
Source: RefSeq, a predicted model, not a curated record
AGGUCAUUGAGUCAAGUCAUUGAGCCAGGAUUUUAACCUGGUCAUUUGACUCCAGAGGUGUGUUUUUUUUUUUGACAGGCAGAGUGGACAGUGAGAGAGAGAGACAGAAAGAAAUAUUGUCCUUUGCUGUUGGUUCACCCUCCAAUGGCCGGUGAGGCCGGCGCGCUGCGGCUGGCGCAGUGCGCUGAUCUGAAGCCAGGAGCCAGGUGCUUCUCCUGGUCUCCCAUGGGGUGCAGGGCCCAAGCACUUGGGCCAUCCUCCACUGCACUCCCUGGCCACAGCAGAGAGCUGGCCUGGAAGAGGGGCAACGGCGACAGACUCCGGCGCCCCGACUGGGACUAGAACCCGGUGUGCCGGCGCUGCAAGGCGGAGGAUUAGCCUAGUGAGCUGCAGCGCCGGCCUGAAUCCAGAGUUUUACUUCUUCCUUUUGAUGGUCUCCUUAAGAAUUACUACUGCAGUUUGAAGGUGUACAUUUUGUGUGUUGCAAACUUAAUCCCCAGAGACAUAGGUAAUUGUGUUUGAGAGGUGAUACCUUUGGGAAGUUUCUGUCAUGAGGGCAUAGAAUCAUCCACUCAUGGAUUUGUGGGUUAAUGAUAAGUGGGUCAUCUUGGGGAGUGGCUUUGUUAUAUAAGAGAGCUGUCUCUGGCUUGCUUGCUCUGUUUCACCAGCGGAUGCCCUCUGCCACACACCAUGACCCAGCAGGAGGGCUCAUACCAGGUGCUGAAUGGAUACCAGCAAGGUGUUCUUGGACUCCUACUCUUCAGAAGGGUUCAUUUUCAAGAGUUGGUCACCCUCGAGGAUCAAGGACCUGCCCACAAGGAGCUUCUAGCUCAAUUGCACUUGGAGAGCGCCUUCAGGGAUGCGUACGUGUCAAUCAAUUGUGAAGUUGAUCUACACAAAUAUCCUCGAGGAAGACCAAAAUCUUAGAAAGAAAAAUGAACUACAGUGAGGCAAAGAGGCCCAAAGCAGAGACAAGAAUAAGCACUCCCAUUUAAGAGAUGAAGACACCGGAAUGGAGGAGAUGAUGAAAACAGAUUUGCCUUGGGAGUUGUCUGCACAGCUCACUGCCUGGUGAGCUGGGAGUGAACAGAAGCCCAAGAGCUCAGCCUGAUGGGAUUUAGUUCUUUCUCAACAGAAACAGACAUGGUUACCGUGGAGGUCGGCACCUGAUGUGUAUCAGCUAUAGGAUCUGUAGCUCCCUGCUGACCAACGGACCCCACCUUUCCAAGUGAAUUUUCUGUGCUUAAAUCUCCUCAUGGGGCUUCUUCUAUUGCGCACUGUGGAGUUACAGAAGUUAGGUUCUUUUUUUGUGUGUGUGUUGUUGUUUUAAACUUAGGACAGCAAGUAGAUCUUCAACUGGGCUUCUUAACUAAUAUCUAGAAGAGAGUGUGGUGGCCUUGGAAAAACCCUCAAGCUGUGUCAAGAGGGUAAAUCAGGGUACGGUGAGUGCCUAUUCUUCCAUGGAAGGAGCUGAGGAGGAUGGUGCCACCCUAGAAUCCAGGUGUGAGCCUUUCAGGAAACUUGGAAAUGUGUGAACAACCCCAGUGGGAAUGCUCUCAAGGAUGCUGCAGGCCCUGGAGCAACCAAAUUCCUGGGUAGAGCUGUGAAAUUGUCAGAGUUCACAAAGAUUCCUCUACAAUUUGUUCUUAAUUGCUGACAACCUAAUUAAAAUUUUUUCCCUAUCUACUUUGUAUCCUAAAGAUAAUCAAUGCUUAUUAUAAAAUUUGAAAGUCACAAAAGAUUAAAAUAAAAGACUACCUUUUGAUUCAUGUGUAAUCAUUGUACAUAUCUAUGGGACACUGUGUGAUGUUUUAAACAAUGUAUGUAAAUGUUCUGAUAAAAUCAGGGUAAUUAGCAUGUUCAUUUCCUUAUCGUUUAUUUAUAUUUAGUCUUCAAGCAUGUCUUCUCAAUUGUUAUAAAAUAUGUAGUGUGUUACUGUGCCUUACAAUCCCAUCACUGUGCUGUUACCCCUCACCCUCACCCCUCUGUAACACCUCUUGGGACUUACAACUGCAAAUGGUUUCCUGUGUUGUCUUCUGAUAGAAUUUUAGCUGAAAAGUAACACAUAUCUCUAUAUGUGUGUCUAAGUGACACUCUUCAUGUAUUUCCAUGGCUGGUUUUGAUUUUCAUUUAACACUGUUGGGCAUUAUUAUAUAUCAUUAACUAUAGAUUUAACUUGAUCAGUUAAAAUUAUCACAAAUCAUUACAGUGCAUAGACACGACAUUGUUCACUUAUAUUAAUUAGUAAAGGACAUUUGGGUGGUGUCAGGAUUAUUUUUUCUCUUGAUCCAUUAAAAAUUGUUGUUAUUGAGAACAAUGCUAUCCUCCACGCUUUUUUUGAAAAAAAAAAAAAAGUUUAAUGGGGCUGGCAUUGUGGUCUAGCAGGUAAAGUCUGUGAUGUCGGCAUCCCAUAUAGGUGCUGAUUCCUGUCCUGGCUACUGCACUUUGGAUCCAGCUCCCUGCUAAUGGCCAUAACUAUGACUGCAUCAUAGUUAAUGUGCCAAUUGUUUUUAGUUUUAAAUUAUUGUUUAGUACAUGUGAAAACUUAU